This 439-nucleotide ribosomal RNA is filed under the name uncultured bacterium. Its description in RNAcentral is "partial 16S ribosomal RNA". It matches the Rfam family "Bacterial small subunit ribosomal RNA", at positions 338 to 795 of the family's 1533-position model. The record is from RNAcentral.
CCUACGGGUGGCAGCAGUGGGGAAUAUUGCACAAUGGGCGAAACCCUGAUGCAGCAACGCCGCGUGAGUGAUGACGGCCUUCGGGUUGUAAAGCUCUGUCUUCAGGGACGAUAAUGACGGUACCUGAGGAGGAAGCCACGGCUAACUACGUGCCAGCAGCCGCGGUAAUACGUAGGAUGCGAGCGUUAUCCGGAUUCAUUGGGUGUAAAGGGUGCGCAGGCGGGCCUUUAAGCCGGCGGUGAAAUCGCGGGGCUCAACCCCGCCGAGCCGUCGGAACUGGGGGCCUUGAGUGCGGCGGAGGCAUGCGGAAUGCGCGGUGUAGCGGUGAAAUGCAUAGAUAUCGCGCAGAACCCCGAUUGCGAAGGCAGCGUGCCGUGCCGCCACUGACGCUGAGGCACGAAAGCGCGGGGAUCGAACAGGAUUAGAUACCCGAGUAGUC